AAAAAAAAAUCUUUUAUAUGUAAUAGAUUUUAUUCAUUUCGGGUACUUCUAAUAUGAAAACCGACGAUCUUUUGAAUUAUUGCCAGAGGUCAUGUAAUAGUGUCACAUUCAGGUAUUCUAGUGACUUCCUGCGGGCUAAUAAACUGGUGACAUUACGCAAUUCAGGUACAUGCAUCGCUUCCCAGCUGUUUGACCCAGGUGUGCACAGGUAAAAGUGCCAUCGAAAAUGCUGUCAGGUGUAUUAUACAUCCUGUUAACAAUGUAUGUCCCUAACCUGAUUGAAAUACACAAAGCCGUCCAAACAUGAAAUUAAGAGUUUAAAAUUUAUAUCUACAGGCUGAUUAAUUCUGACAUGUGCAAAGACAGAAA
Molecule: long non-coding RNA, 369 nt
Filed under: Mytilus galloprovincialis (Mediterranean mussel)
Lineage: Eukaryota; Metazoa; Mollusca; Bivalvia; Mytilida; Mytilidae
Source: RNAcentral